RNAcentral lists this small RNA (1065 nucleotides) under Histoplasma ohiense. RNAcentral describes it as "hypothetical lncRNA". The record is from RNAcentral. Lineage: Eukaryota; Fungi; Ascomycota; Eurotiomycetes; Onygenales; Ajellomycetaceae.
UCUAGCAAGGUGAAGCCAGGCAUUGAAACCGGAUGACAAAGGACUAUUUCAAGCUUCAUGAGGUCUCAUAGCCCUCUAGCUACCUCGAGCAUAUAUAUCACAACCUCCUUAGAAAUUCCACACUUUUAAUCUGGAUACUUGAGCACAACGUCUCCGAAGCAAGAAAUGCUGAUUCAAUCUAUCACUCUCUUGAAAUAAACAACACGGACGAGCUGCUGGAGGAAUCCUGAUAUGGCUUCAGAAAUGACUCCUCUCUCAUUUGCGCGUUGACAAGUGGGAGAUUCCAUGUAGGUAGAUUGAAAUACUACCUCUAAAAAACCCAGGGGCCAUGGAAGAGCAUUUGAGGGUAGAGCAUCAAUUUUGAUUCGUCUCUCUUUUCCUCUUUCACUUCAAUAAGAUAUUUCACUUGUGAAAUGAGCCGUGCAUAGAAUAUCUAUACAUGCCUGAUUAAGGAAGGGGGAGAUGGGGAAUUUAUACAUGAAUGGAUGAAACGUUGUCAGUGGAUUUAUUUAAUUAUAGAGAAGUGAAUUUUUAAUAUUUGACAAGUUGAUGCAUUUUCUAAUAUUUCUGAAUGACUACCACCAGUGAAGCUUAUCAUUGUCUUGGUCAUUGAGGCCCGAUGAAAAUCAACUAGAAUCAGAGGAAGGAAGUCUUUUCUGUCACAUAUGUAGCCUAAUUCAUUCUCUUUGUUUUUACUUCAUUUUGAUUUUAUUUAUUUGCUUAUAACAUGGUAAAUAGAUAAAUCCCUAGAACACAAGGAAGGCUAGCCAAAUACGUUUAUAAUCAAUCAAUGGGCAAAAUCAAUUUGGAGGCACCUGUUAUUUGUUCACAUAUAUCUUUGAGUGGCGUAUAUAAGAUCAAUGUUUCGACAUAUACUUAUCACAUUGAAGUGAGAUAAUGGGGUAAUGAAUGAAAAAAAGAGAUGAUUCAACGAUGGGGCUGAUCAGGAGCUGCAAUACACACAGUGAUACAGUGAAAUCCUUUGAAACUACACCAGCUCUCUUCUCAGAAAUAAGAAAAUAAGAAUCCAGAUGGUCCAGGGUCGCUGCGAAAUCUCGGUGGACU